CACCUUUGACAUGUACGGAAUCCUUUAGAGAUAGAGGAGUGCUCGAAAGAGAACCGUAACACAGGUGCUGCAUGGCUGUCGUCAGCUCGUGUCGUGAGAUGUUGGGUUAAGUCCCGCAACGAGCGCAACCCUUGCCAUUAGUUGCUACGAAAGGGCACUCUAAUGGGACUGCCGGUGACAAACCGGAGGAAGGUGGGGAUGACGUCAAGUCCUCAUGGCCCUUAUAGGUGGGGCUACACACGUCAUACAAUGGCUGGUACAGAGGGUUGCCAACCCGCGAGGGGGAGCUAAUCCCAUAAAGCCAGUCGUAGUCCGGAUCGCAGUCUGCAACUCGACUGCGUGAAGUCGGAAUCGCUAGUAAUCGCGGAUCAGAAUGUCGCGGUGAAUACGUUCCCGGGUCUU
Molecule: ribosomal RNA, 402 nt
Filed under: uncultured Acidovorax sp.
Lineage: Bacteria; Pseudomonadati; Pseudomonadota; Betaproteobacteria; Burkholderiales; Comamonadaceae
Description: bacterial SSU rRNA
Rfam family: Bacterial small subunit ribosomal RNA
Source: RNAcentral